RNAcentral lists this ribosomal RNA (102 nucleotides) under Periophthalmus magnuspinnatus. Lineage: Eukaryota; Metazoa; Chordata; Actinopteri; Gobiiformes; Gobiidae. The record is from RNAcentral.
GCCAUACCAACUGAGAACGCCUGAUCUUGUCUGAUCUCAUAAGCUAAGCGUGGUUGCGUCUGGUUAGUACCGGGAUGUGAGACUGCUGGAAAUACAAAGUGC